Molecule: ribosomal RNA, 121 nt
Filed under: Periophthalmus magnuspinnatus
Lineage: Eukaryota; Metazoa; Chordata; Actinopteri; Gobiiformes; Gobiidae
Source: RNAcentral
GAGUGAUGACAUACCUGCUUGUCAAUGACCGAUCUCAUCAGAUUUUGGAAGCUAAGCAAGGCCGGGCCUGUUUAGUACUUGGAUGUUGUGUCCUUAGGCAAGACAGUUGACACAUCGCCUC